This is an unclassified non-coding RNA of Cebus imitator (Panamanian white-faced capuchin), 109 nucleotides long. It matches the Rfam family "Y RNA". Rfam says of the family: Y RNAs are components of the Ro ribonucleoprotein particle (Ro RNP), in association with Ro60 and La proteins. The record is from Ensembl. Lineage: Eukaryota; Metazoa; Chordata; Mammalia; Primates; Cebidae.
GGUUAGUCCUAGGGUAGUCAGUUCUCUCAACUGAUUACAGUCAGUUACAUAUUGAACUCCUUGUUCUAAUCUUUUCCUCCUUCCCGCUACUAAACUUGACUACUCUUAA